Molecule: long non-coding RNA, 309 nt
Filed under: Jatropha curcas
Lineage: Eukaryota; Viridiplantae; Streptophyta; Magnoliopsida; Malpighiales; Euphorbiaceae
Description: long non-coding RNA (JCUR_LNC003042)
Source: RNAcentral
CAAAAUGAAAAUUUGCUCUCCUUUUAUUUUUCCUCUAAACGCCGUAAUUCCCUUUCUAGCUCACUAGGGAAUUUCAGCCAUUGUUUCUACUCCUUUGUGAGUUCUUGCCUUCUUAUUGUAGUGUGUAUUACUGUUUGAGGUGAUCCAAUUGGAUUACUGUGGUUUGCUAUAAUCCAAUAAAGAAGGCAAACAAGAAAACCAGAUAUGAUAUCACUCGAAAAGGUAUGAAAUUCUGCAACAUUCUUGUAAAAUUAAUUAUAUUGAUGAAUUCUUUUUGUCAUUUUGGGGUUCAAGUCUAUUUAUUUUUGC